UUGCCAGCCCGCUCAGAAACUCAAAGGAAGUUAGACGGGGCCCGCGACAAGCGGUGGAGUAUGUGGUUUAAUUCGAUGCAACGCGAAGAACCUUACCUGGUCUUGACAUCCCGGAGACCCUUAGGAAACUAGGGGGUGCUUCCAUCUGGAAGAAUCUGGAGACAGGUGCUGCAUGGCUGUCGUCAGCUCGUGUCGUGAGAUGUUGGGUUAAGUCCCGCAACGAGCGCAACCCUUGCCUUUAGUUGCCAGCAGUUCGGCUGGGCACUCUAAAGGGACUGCCGGUGUUAAACCGGAGGAAGGUGGGGAUGACGUCAAGUCCUCAUGGCCUUUAUGACCAGGGCUACACACGUACUACAAUGGCCGAUACAAAGGGCAGCGACACUGCGAGGUGAAGCCAAUCCCGUAAAAUCGGUCUCAGUCCGGAUUGGAGUCUGCAACUCGACUCCAUGAAGUUGGAAUCGCUAGUAAUCGUGGAUCAGCAUGCCACGGUGAAUACGUUCCCGGGCCUU
Molecule: ribosomal RNA, 509 nt
Filed under: uncultured Desulfobulbus sp.
Lineage: Bacteria; Pseudomonadati; Thermodesulfobacteriota; Desulfobulbia; Desulfobulbales; Desulfobulbaceae
Description: bacterial SSU rRNA
Rfam family: Bacterial small subunit ribosomal RNA
Source: RNAcentral